Molecule: transfer RNA, 72 nt
Filed under: Urocitellus parryii (Arctic ground squirrel)
Lineage: Eukaryota; Metazoa; Chordata; Mammalia; Rodentia; Sciuridae
Also listed under: 1 other name
Description: Spermophilus parryii (Arctic ground squirrel) tRNA
Rfam family: tRNA
About the family: Transfer RNA (tRNA) molecules are approximately 80 nucleotides in length. Their secondary structure includes four short double-helical elements and three loops (D, anti-codon, and T loops).
Source: Rfam by way of RNAcentral
UGGGUUGUGGCCCAGUGGUAGAGUGCUCAUCUCACAUGUGUGAAGCACUGGGUUUAAUUCUCAGCACCACAU